This 253-nucleotide ribosomal RNA is filed under the name uncultured bacterium. Its description in RNAcentral is "partial 16S ribosomal RNA". It matches the Rfam family "Bacterial small subunit ribosomal RNA", at positions 524 to 776 of the family's 1533-position model. The record is from RNAcentral.
UACGUAGGGUGCAAGCGUUAAUCGGAAUUACUGGGCGUAAAGCGUGCGCAGGCGGCUGUGUAAGACAGAUGUGAAAUCCCCGGGCUCAACCUGGGAACUGCAUUUGUGACUGCACAGCUGGAGUGCGGCAGAGGGGGAUGGAAUUCCGCGUGUAGCAGUGAAAUGCGUAGAUAUGCGGAGGAACACCGAUGGCGAAGGCAAUCCCCUGGGCCUGCACUGACGCUCAUGCACGAAAGCGUGGGGAGCAAACAGG